This 443-nucleotide ribosomal RNA is filed under the name uncultured bacterium. RNAcentral's name for it is "partial 16S ribosomal RNA". It matches the Rfam family "Bacterial small subunit ribosomal RNA", at positions 338 to 795 of the family's 1533-position model. The record is from RNAcentral.
CCUACGGGCGGCAGCAGUGGGGGAUAUUGGACAAUGGGGGAAACCCUGAUCCAGCGACGCCGCGUGAGUGAAGAAGUAUUUCGGUAUGUAAAGCUCUAUCAGCAGGGAAGAAAGACAUGACGGUACCUGAGUAAGACGCGCCGGCUAACUACGUGCCAGCAGCCGCGGUAAUACGUAGGGGGCAAGCGUUAUCCGGAAUUACUGGGUGUAAAGGGAGCGUAGACGGUAAUGCAAGUCUGGAGUGAAAGGCGGGGGCUCAACCCCCGGACUGCUCUGGAAACUGUGUAACUGGAGUGCAGGAGAGGCAGGCGGAAUUCCUAGUGUAGCGGUGAAAUGCGUAGAUAUUAGGAGGAACACCAGUGGCGAAGGCGGCCUGCUGGACUGUAACUGACGUUGAGGCUCGAAAGCGUGGGGAGCAAACAGGAUUAGAUACCCUAGUAGUC